This 4407-nucleotide long non-coding RNA is filed under the name Podarcis muralis (Common wall lizard). RNAcentral's name for it is "lncRNA (ENSPMRG00000017523.1)". Lineage: Eukaryota; Metazoa; Chordata; Lepidosauria; Squamata; Lacertidae. The record is from RNAcentral.
CCCUCGGGGGGGGGGUCCCUUCUGCGAUUCCUCCUCCGCCACCCGCCUCGCCGACAAUUCCCACACAGGCCUAAACACACGUGCUCAGUUCCUCCUCUUCUCCCGCCCCGCCUCAGCCUUCAUUGGCGGCCUCCAAGCGGGGCUGGCUCAGGCGGCGGGCGGUUGGUUGCUGCUCCUCCGCCCGAGACCCGGCGCGGCGGUUCCCGGGUGCGCUUGCCGCGAGGAGCCGAGGCUGAGGCGACGGAGUCCAGGUCCCUCCAGUCCCGUUUCUCGCGCAGCGCUGGAGGAAGAGGCGGCCUGAGAGCGCCGGGGAGGCGUUGCCCGGCGAGGCCGGGAGUUCGCCCCCUGCCCGGGCUGCAGAACAACAAGCGAGGAGGAGGCCGCCCCCGAGCAACUCCUGGGCGAGCGCUGGGGACGCCGCCGCGUCGCUUUCCCGCCACCAGGGUGGCCGCUUGGGUAGCGCGGGAGGGCGAGCGCGAGGCGCCUCAGCAGCAAGUGGCGCCGCCGCCGCCCCGCGCAGACCUCGCAGGAGGCGGGAAGCGCAGCCGCGAGGAGGCAGCGCUCGGCGGCGGCUCCCCCUGCCCCGGCCGGCCGCCAUGGCUGCCGCGGCGAGGCGACGGCGAGGGACUCGAAGCGGUGGCUGCUGCCGCCGCCUCCUCUGGAGGAGUCCGAAACAAGCGCCCCAGUCGAGAAGAGGAUGUAGACUUAAAAGUGAGCCAGGAACGUUUGGAACACUGUUGCGUUAUAGAAGAUGAAGACUCAGAAUCUCAAGAGGAGGAAGAGGGUAAAAGCGACCAAGUGGAUUGGAAAGAGAAGCUGAGUCCAGUUACCAGCUCUUCGGUGAGAGUCAUAAAAGUUGUAUUGGGCCAUAUACGGUUAAGAAUAGACCCAUUGAAAUCAAGAGUCUUUUGGUAGUCUUGCCCAUUAAGGUCAAUGGUUUUAUACUGAGUAUGACUCACAUUGAAUUCAGUCCAUUGCCCGGGAUCCUAAGUUGCUCAUCCAUUCAUGUAUGAUGGCGGAGAUUCUCACCAAGUCCCCUGUCUCAUAUCCCACACCAUAUCCCAAGGGUCCUCAAGCUCCCUGGGGUAGAUUUUCAGGGGGCUGUAGAAAGAAGGGGGAGGAAGGAAAGUCUCUUUCCAUAAACAAGACUUCUGUUCCAUUCACAGAAGGAAAAUUAGAUCCCCAGCCAUCAAUAUUAGUGUUUUUGAAAACUGAUUCAAAUAUUGAUUUAUUCAUGGCAAGUCUUUAUGAACAUUUUUGAAAUGUAUAUAUUCGCAAAUAUAAUUGUGGGAAUAGCCUGUCAUGUCUUAAAAGAUAUCGUUAACUUCUUGCUGCACCAGUUACAUGGUUAUUAUUUUCCCCAACCCCAAAGUUGUGGUCCGCUCUUUUCUCUUUAACAUCUCUGAAUUAUUUUUUUUUAAGUUGAUGUGGUUUUGCUUUAAAUCAUAAAACAGCUCUAGUAUCAAAAGACUCCAGUUCUGACCAUUAUAAACAAUGAAUUUAUGAAAGCAUGUUCAGAUAACUGCUGUUUACUAAAAAGUUUUACAAUGUGGCAUUUAAAAAAAAAAAAAAACCAUGGAAGUGGUGGCAGCUUGUAAUUAUCAAACUAUUAGGGCAAGUAUUACCACUUCCUCUGUAGCUGCAUGAAAAUCUAAUGGUCAGCAAGGUUUACCUCGCCUGGGCUGGUUCACUCCAGCGGAGAUCCCUCUGUGGACUGGAUUGCAGAUGCGCGUGAGUGUGCUCCCCCGCGAUUUCCAGCGUCUGCACAGAUGCGGAUUUCUGGCGCCGCAGAAGUGAGUCCGCACGCCACGCUGGUUUAGCACAUUGCGCGGGGGCUCACCAAGCGGGUGGCUCAUGGGCCGAUUAAAUGACCCCCGUGGGCAGCAUGUGGCCCAUGAGUCUUAGGUUGCCGAACCCUGUGCUAGAUGGAAGACAGCAGCCCAGUUCUGGGGUCCUGUUGUAAGCUUUUAAUUGGCUGUCACGUGAACUCCUGGUUGUCUGAAUCCACUCUCUGUAUGCAGCGAACAACAUCUCAGAAUGUGCUAUCCUAUAGUGCUUCUUCACAGAUGUACUGCUGGCCAGUUAACUUGGUAUGAAGAUAGCAUGCUUUGUUGUUUACAAAUGUUACUGUCACUCAGCGACAUGCAUAUUUACUUAAUACAUUUUAUAUACCACCUGUCAGCCAGUUGGUUCCUAGGGCAGUUGAGAACAGGAUAAAGGGGUUGCCGGCCUCUUUGAGGCCCCUGGGCACAUUUAGAAUUUUGAGUUUUGCAGCUGUAUACAUCUCCUGUGGCUUGAAGUGGUGUCUUUUUCCUGAUCCCUCUUACAAUCCUAAUUACAACUUUCCAUUAACAAUGGAUAAAUGUCUAUUAAUUGUGGGGGUUUUUUGGGGGGUGUGGGGUUUACAACAGGCUUACAGAAGCACUACUGGUUCUGCUUUCCCACUGGAAGGUUAUUUUCCACUGCCAGCAUCACUGACUGAAAAUACAUUGGAAGUAAGUGUUGCAAUUUGCACAUAAGCUUGUAAAUUAUCUCAAAGUUGGAAGCAUGCUUCUGCAAUAACCCAGUUAAAGCAACUCUUUCAGAUCCUGAUCUUGUCAGAAAUGCUGCAACUGAACUGCACCAUUUUUCCUUUUACUAUUUACUUCCAAAACGUGUGAUUUGCCGAAGUAGAAUCUGAAGAAUUGUUUUAAAACCAUUUCCCCCGAUUUCUACAGCUCCAUUCUAGGUGUCAUGACAGAAGACUCUGAUUACACCAUGGAAGCUAAAGUAGUAAGCUGAACCUGUAGUGAAUGAAGUGUAGCAAGUGAUUAGGGGUGCAUUCAUUUUUCCUCAAUUUGACUAAAGGGUUCCACGUGGCACACCUUUCCAAGGGAGCAUGCCAGUGGUAGGUGGAACAAAUGUGACACUUCUGCUUUCAGCUGUUGACUACAUUUCAGUCAGGCAAGAUCACUCAAGAGCAGGGUUAAGACAGGGUGUGUGACCAGGUGAGAGUCAUGAGGGUCAAAUGGAAAAGCCCUGGAGGGCCUCAAUUUGCCCCAGGCCCUGAGGUUCCUCAGCCCUGAUUUAGAAAAUACCUGUGGUGCCCUACAAGGCUCAUCAUAAUCACCUGUGUUGUUAAUCUUAUGUGUGGAAUUGUUAAAAUGAUAACUCUCCUGCCUUUAGACAGCACAUUCAACAACAUGCUGCCCUCCAAGUCUGUAUUUUAUUAACAUAAGCACCCAGCAGAAGCUGUAUCUAUUCUAAACCAAAGUUUGGAUAGUAGGGGAAGGUGUGUAGAUAUUUCUAAAUAUAUGCAAGUAUGUGAGGAACUACCUAGCUAGGGCAAACAGCUGAAGAUGCUUUCAUUUAAUAUACCGGUAAUCAUAGAGGUGGAAGGGAUCCUGAGGGAUCAUCUAGUCUAACCCCCUGCAUUGAAGGAAUAUGCAGCUCUCCCUUAUGAGGAUUGAACCUGCAACCUUUGCAUUCUCAGCACCACACUCUAGCCAGGAUGGGCCCAAUGUUCAAGAUGUAAUUUUGAACCUUUUCAAGCUCUUCUUGCAUGCCUCAGUAUAUCUUUCCCUACAUUACCUCCACCCCAAUGUCUGUUGGAUAAGCUCAUAAGAAUUCUGCCUUUAAAAAUGGAGAAGACAAGGUGUGGGCUGUGAAACUCGUGCCUCUAUGUUGCAAGUUUUAGAAAAACAAUUCAAGCUGCUCCUGUUUCAGCAGAGGUGGGUAGUGGUGGUUUUCCAAUUUGUAUUGCAGUAGAUAGCAGACAGGGACGCGGGUGGCGCUGUGGGUAAAACCUCAGCGCCUAGGACUUGCCGAUCGUAUGGUCGGCAGUUCGAAUCCCCUCGGCGGGGUGAGCUCCCGUCGUUCGGUCCCAGCUCCUGCCAACCUAGCAGUUCGAAAGCACCUCUAAGUGCAAGUAGAUAAAUAGGGACCGCUUUAUAGCGGGAAGGUAAAUGGCGUUUCCGUGUGCGGCGCUGGUGCUGGCUCGCCAGAGCAGCUUCGUCACGCUGGCCACGUGACCCGGAAGUGUCUCCAGACAGCGCCGGCUCCCGGCCUCUUGAGCGAGAUGAGCGCGCAACCCUAGAGUCUGGCAAGACUGGCCCGUACGGACAGGGGUACCUUUACCUUUACCUUAGAUAGCAGACAAGCUACUGCAUCUUACUGGGUUCUUUUUGAUGUUUUCCUCAAUACUCUUUCAGGCUGCCAUUUUUAGUGAUCACACUCUUUCUGUAACAGCUGGUAUUUGCAGAAAGCAUUCUCUGUGUUUAAAGUAUUGUGGGGGAGGGGGAAAUAACACAUUUUAAAUUAUACAAAGGGCUGCUGUUGAACUGGCUAGAAACUAUUUAACCAUAGGGAGAGUUGCAAGGUUUCAAAAUAACAUAGAAAACAUAUUUUCAUUUUGCUCCUUCUUUUAGG